Molecule: long non-coding RNA, 495 nt
Filed under: Trifolium pratense (red clover)
Lineage: Eukaryota; Viridiplantae; Streptophyta; Magnoliopsida; Fabales; Fabaceae
Description: long non-coding RNA (TPRA_LNC006322)
Source: RNAcentral
AAUACUUAGAAUAUUCCAACCCAAAACAAGAUUCACGAAUACAAGCCUCAAGAGUGAAAAAGAAUCUUAAUGGUGAAAGAACAGGAGAAACAGAAGAAUCUUAACUUUCCUUUGGUAUAAAUGGAUGGAUUGAGACCUUAACUCGUACAUGCAUGCUCAAUUGAAAGAGAAACUGAGCUUGGUCUAUCCUAAUUAUGGUUUCGACCAUGACAGAAGGGAAGAGAGUAAAAUAGAACCUAAAUCUUUCACUUAAAGUGUCUCAUUUGGUGAUGGAUUGAGAGGAAAAACACAUGCAAAGUUUGUUGGUGAUGAUUUAGGGAGAGAUUGAAAAUGAUAAUGGUGGUUAUGGCAAGUGAAGAGUUUCACGGCUGAGAGAAAGAAAGUGGUAGUGGAGUUGGGAUUUGGAUUCAGUGAAGUCGACUGCAUGCAAUCAGUAAAUCUGGACCGUCUGAUCAAGAUCAGACGGUUCAUACUUUAAGAUCAGAUUUUAAUUAU